AUCCAGCUGACGAGUCCCAACAAGGACGAAAUGCGCCUUACUGGAU
Molecule: non-coding RNA, 46 nt
Organism: Schistosoma haematobium
Lineage: Eukaryota; Metazoa; Platyhelminthes; Trematoda; Strigeidida; Schistosomatidae
Source: Rfam